GAUGAAGAACGUAGCGAAAUGCGAUACGUAAUGUGAAUUGCAGAAUUCAGUGAAUCAUCGAAUCUUUGAACGCAUAUUGCGCUCUCUGGUAUUCCGGAGAGCAUGCUUGUUUGAGUAUCAGUAAACACCUCAACUCCCUUUUCUUUUUUGAAAUUGGAGCUGGACUUGAGUGAUCCCAACGCUUUCUUCCAAGAAAGUGGCGGGUUGCUUGAAAUGCAGGUGCAGCUGAACUUUUCUCUGAGCUAUAAGCAUAUCUAUUUAGUCUGCCUAAAAAACAGAUUAUUACCUUUGCUGCAGCUAACAUAAAGGAGACUAGUUCUUGUGCUGACUGAUGCAGGAUUCACAGAGACAGCUUCGGCUGACUUUGUAAACUCGAUCUAAAAUCAAGUAAGACUACCCGCUGAACUUAAGCAUAUCAAUAAGCGGAGGA
Molecule: unclassified non-coding RNA, 430 nt
Filed under: soil metagenome
Description: partial contains 5.8S ribosomal RNA, internal transcribed spacer 2, and large subunit ribosomal RNA
Rfam family: 5.8S ribosomal RNA (bases 1-120)
Source: RNAcentral